RNAcentral lists this ribosomal RNA (795 nucleotides) under uncultured bacterium. RNAcentral describes it as "bacterial SSU rRNA". It matches the Rfam family "Bacterial small subunit ribosomal RNA", at positions 56 to 864 of the family's 1533-position model. The record is from RNAcentral.
UGCAAGUCGACGGAAGGCCCUGCUUUUGUGGGGUGCUCGAGUGGCGCCCCAACUGGAACACGUGAGUAACCUGCCCUUGACUUUGGGCCUCUUACAGGAAACUGGGGCUAAUACCGGAUAGGAGCUCCUGCUGCAUGGUGGGGGUUGGAAAGUUUCGGCGGUUGGGGAUGGACUCGCGGCUUAUCAGCUUGUUGGUGGGGUAGUGGCUUACCAAGGCUUUGACGGGUAGCCGGCCUGAGAGGGUGACCGGCCACAUUGGGACUGAGAUACGGCCCAGACUCCUACGGGAGGCAGCAGUGGGGAAUAUUGCACAAUGGGCGGAAGCCUGAUGCAGCAACGCCGCGUGCGGGAUGACGGCCUUCGGGUUGUAAACCGCUUUCGCCUGUGACGAAGCGUGAGUGACGGUAAUGGGUAAAGAAGCACCGGCUAACUACGUGCCAGCAGCCGCGGUGAUACGUAGGGUGCGAGCGUUGUCCGGAUUUAUUGGGCGUAAAGGGCUCGUAGGUGGUUGAUCGCGUCGGAAGUGUAAUCUUGGGGCUUAACCCUGAGCGUGCUUUCGAUACGGGUUGACUUGAGGAAGGUAGGGGAGAAUGGAAUUCCUGGUGGAGCGGUGGAAUGCGCAGAUAUCAGGAGGAACACCAGUGGCGAAGGCGGUUCUCUGGGCCUUUCCUGACGCUGAGGAGCGAAAGCGUGGGGAGCGAACAGGCUUAGAUACCCUGGUAGUCCACGCUGUAAACGGUGGGUACUAGGUGUGGGGUCCAUUCACGGGUUCCGUGCCGUAGCUAACGCUUUAAG